AGUGAACGCUGGCGGUAGGCCUAACACAUGCAAGUCGAACGGCAGCACAGUAAGAGCUUGCUCUUACGGGUGGCGAGUGGCGGACGGGUGAGGAAUACAUCGGAAUCUACUUUUUCGUGGGGGAUAACGUAGGGAAACUUACGCUAAUACCGCAUACGACCUACGGGUGAAAGCAGGGGAUCUUCGGACCUUGCGCGAUUGAAUGAGCCGAUGUCGGAUUAGCUAGUUGGCGGGGUAAAGGCCCACCAAGGCGACGAUCCGUAGCUGGUCUGAGAGGAUGAUCAGCCAAACUGGAACUGAGACACGGUCCAGAAUCCUAAGGGAGGCAGCAGUGGGGAAUAUUGGAAAAUGGGCGCAAGCCUGAUCCAGCCAUACCGCGUGGGUGAAGAAGGCCUUCGGGUUGUAAAGCCCUUUUGUUGGGAAAGAAAAGCAGCAGGUUAAUACCCCGCUGUUCUGACGGUACCCAAAGAAUAAGCACCGGCUAACUUCGUG
Molecule: ribosomal RNA, 492 nt
Filed under: uncultured bacterium
Lineage: Bacteria
Description: partial 16S ribosomal RNA
Rfam family: Bacterial small subunit ribosomal RNA
Source: RNAcentral